AGUGAACGCUGGCGGUAGGCCUAACACAUGCAAGUCGAACGGCAGCACAGUAAGAGCUUGCUCUGACGGGUGGCGAGUGGCGGACGGGUGAGGAAUACAUCGUAAUCUACUUUUUCGUGGGGGUUAACGUAGGGAAACUUACGCUCAUACCGCAUACGACCUACCGGUGAAAGCAUGGGAUCGUUGGACCUUUCGCGAUUGAAUUAGCCGAUGUCGGAUUAGCUAGUUGGGGGGUUAAAGGCCCACCAUGGCGACGAUCCGUGGCUGGACUGAGUGGACGGUCGGCCGCACUGGAGGUGGAACAGGGUCCAGAGUCCUACGGGAGGCACCAGUCGGGAAUAUUGGCCAGUGGGGGGAAACAUGGUCCAACCGGACCGCGUGGGUGAAGGAGGCCUUGGGGUUGUGAAGCCCGUUUUUUGGGAGAGAAAAGCAGCAGGUUGAUACCAAGCUGUUGUGACGGUACCGAAAGAAUAAGCACCGGCUAACUUCGUG
This 492-nucleotide ribosomal RNA is filed under the name uncultured bacterium. RNAcentral's name for it is "partial 16S ribosomal RNA". It matches the Rfam family "Bacterial small subunit ribosomal RNA", at positions 29 to 507 of the family's 1533-position model. The record is from RNAcentral.